CCUACGGGAGGCAGCAGUGGGGAAUAUUGCACAAUGGGGGAAACCCUGAUGCAGCGACGCCGCGUGAGUGAAGAAGUAUUUCGGUACGUAAAGCUCUGUCAGGAGGGAAGAAGUGGUUAUAUGCGAAUAGUGUAUGACUUUGACGGUACCUCCAAAGGAAGCACCGGCUAACUCCGUGCCAGCAGCCGCGGUAAUACGGAGGGUGCGAGCGUUAAUCGGAAUCACUGGGCGUAAAGCGCGCGUAGGCGGCGUUUCAAGUCAGGGGUGAAAUCCCACGGCCCAACCGUGGAACUGCCUUUGAAACUGUAGAGCUUGAGUGUCGGAGAGGGUGGCGGAAUUCCAGGUGUAGGAGUGAAAUCCGGAGAUAUCUGGAGGAACACCGGUGGCGAAGGCGGCCACCUGGACGACAACUGACGCUGAGGUGCGAAAGCGUGGGUAGCAAACAGGAUUAGAUACCCCUGUAGUC
This 466-nucleotide ribosomal RNA is filed under the name uncultured bacterium. Its description in RNAcentral is "partial 16S ribosomal RNA". It matches the Rfam family "Bacterial small subunit ribosomal RNA", at positions 338 to 795 of the family's 1533-position model. The record is from RNAcentral.